Non-coding RNA from Schistosoma mattheei, 45 nucleotides. Lineage: Eukaryota; Metazoa; Platyhelminthes; Trematoda; Strigeidida; Schistosomatidae. The record is from Rfam.
GUCCAGCUGACGAGUCCCGAAUAGGACGAAACGCGCGUCCUGGAU